UUGAACGCUGGCGGAAUGCUUUACACAUGCAAGUCGAGCGGCAGCGCGGGGGCAACCCUGGCGGCGAGCGGCGAACGGGUGAGUAACAUAUCGGAACGUACCCUGUCGUGGGGGAUAACACAGCGAAAGCUGUGCUAAUACCGCAUACGACCUGAGGGUGAAAGCGGGGGAUCGCAAGACCUCGCGCGAUAGGAGCGGCCGAUAUCGGAUUAGCUUGUUGGUGAGGUAAAGGCUCACCAAGGCGACGAUCUGUAGCUGGUCUGAGAGGACGACCAGCCACACUGGGACUGAGACACGGCCCAGACUCCUACGGGAGGCAGCAGUGGGGAAUUUUGGACAAUGGGCGAAAGCCUGAUCCAGCCAUGCCGCGUGCAGGAUGAAGGCCUUCGGGUUGUAAACUGCUUUUGUACGGAACGAAAAGACUCCUUCUAAUAAAGGGGGUUCAUGACGGUACUGUAAGAAUAAGCACCGGCUAACUACGU
This 482-nucleotide ribosomal RNA is filed under the name uncultured bacterium. RNAcentral describes it as "bacterial SSU rRNA". It matches the Rfam family "Bacterial small subunit ribosomal RNA", at positions 30 to 506 of the family's 1533-position model. The record is from RNAcentral.